Myxocyprinus asiaticus (Chinese sucker) is the source of this 295-nucleotide long non-coding RNA. RefSeq lists it as uncharacterized. Lineage: Eukaryota; Metazoa; Chordata; Actinopteri; Cypriniformes; Catostomidae. The transcript is spliced from 3 exons. The record is from RefSeq and is a predicted model, not a curated record.
CAGGCUGCAAGGAGAGAGGGCCGUGUAACAGGGAUGUGUAUUCAAACUCGAAUUAGGCUUCCAAAGGCACCAAAUCCUGGUACUGACUGUUUCUUGACCGGCCCUGGACAGUUGGACUCGGGGAGCGUGAGUCAUCUGCUACCUGAAACAUCAGAGAAGGCUUAACAGGAUUAGAAUGCAGAACAGAGAAGAAUUCGGGACUCGAGAGGAACUUUGCACCAGGAGACUGAAGCAGCAAAGCCAGACGAGAACGUGAGCUGGUGUGACCCAUGAAGCUGUCCCUACGAUAUUCUGC